CCCGGGCGACCGGCGCACGGGUGAGUAACACGUAUGCAACCUGGCCGUGACAGAUGGAUAACCGGGAGAAAUCCCGCCUAAUACAACAUAAUGCCGGGAGGGGACAUCCCCUGCCGGUCAAAGGGGGCGACCCCGGUCAUGGAUGGGCAUGCGGCGCAUUAGGUAGUUGGUGGGGCAACGGCCCACCAAGCCGACGAUGCGUAGGGGUUCUGAGAGGAAGGUCCCCCACAUUGGAACUGAGACACGGUCCAAACUCCUACGGAAGGCAGCA
Molecule: ribosomal RNA, 271 nt
Filed under: uncultured bacterium
Lineage: Bacteria
Description: partial 16S ribosomal RNA
Rfam family: Bacterial small subunit ribosomal RNA
Source: RNAcentral